CCCAUUUCCCUCCCACAGACUGGAAAAAGAAAGGCGAGCUGCUCGCCGUCGUAGAUGAUUUCUCAUCCACUGGCUCAUCCGGUUCUUCAUCUCUUUCCUACAGCGUUGCAAGCUUCUCCUCCUGGCCGGACUCUCUUCAGUGCCGAUCGGGAGGGUGGGUGGGGCAGUGGUAACACGGGGGAGAGCACGGUAGCUGACGCUCAAGCACGAUAGAACACCACGUUUGGCCACCCAGCACGUGCGCUGAUCGAAGAGAAAGCGACAGCGCUGCGUCACGUAUCGCACACUGCCGUGCCUGAUUGUUGCCACAGACCGCCGCUAUUCUUUUUGCAGUUUUUCUUUGAAAGCCUCUGGCGUUUCUCCUCCUGUCCAAGGGCAAAGGAGGACAGUCAGCGGCGCACCCCCUUUGAGGCGGUGACCGUGCGUGCGUGCCUCUCCCUGUGUGCAAAGAAUGCUCAAUGGAGUCAACGAUAUCUUGAUGCCAUGGACUGCCCCACGUAUCCUCCAGAUCAUGGAGGCCACCUCCGCGUCUCGCAACGCGAGUGGCUGCGCUCCUCGCGGUGGAAUAGCCGCUGAUGAUACGGCGGAUAUGGAAAGCCUUCUGCGGCUCGCAAACCAGCUGCCAGACGUUGCGGGCCGCGUGAUGGCAGCACCACUGUUUGCGCAACGACCGCUCGUCGAGUCGCAUAAUGGUGGCUCAACGUCUCUCAACACGGUGGCACCUGGCGCGUCAUCCGAUGGGGCAUCAUCGGUGUCCAUAACAUAUGAGGAUGCACAGUAUAUGUGUACCGCCGCCUUGGCGGUGCGCCGGAGCCCGUGGAAGGCGGAGGCACCGAACGACGAUGAGCCAUCGACGACUGAUGCGAAGGCUUAUUGCUCGCUUCCCCACACCGAGCCUCAAACAGCGGCAGCGGAGUUGGAGGAGGUGGGGUUUGCGGCAGAGUUCUCAGAGCCCUGCAUUCGCGGCUCCUUUCCGGACGCUGCUGCAGCGCUACGUCACGUUCUUCCCGAGAUUGACGGUGGGCUCACAUCGGACAGUGAUGGGGUGCAUGCUCAGAGUGCGAGCAAGCAUGGCGCCGCUGACUUAUUUCAAGGUGCUCUACACUUUGUUUUGCGACCGCCUUCUGUGUCGCACGCAGCCCCUCUGGCGGAGAGCGCCUCCUCAACGAGUGCGAUCCAGAGUGUGGCUUCAGCUACCUCACACCGCCUGCAUCUUGUCCAACCGUCGCCCUCAGCGGCAUCGGCAGCGCCUCAUUCGCUCGUGCUGGAUACUAUUCCAUCUCCCUCGUUGCUGCCGAUUGAGGCUCGCGGUCCGCCAGGUCACCGUGUGUUCGACGGGGGCUGCGUUGCGUACACCUUCUCCGCGGGCGAGAGGGAGGAGUUGCUGGCCUCCUUGUGCGCCGAACCACCUCCGCUUCAAGUAUUCAGCAGGGAGGAAGUGGAGGGGCGCUGUCAGCCGGGAAGUCCGAUCUAUCGCCAGACCUCAGCACCACAGUCUUCCGGGUCAGGGGCAGCCGCCGCAGCCACCGCGCAUUUUCCUCGCGGCGGGCUCCCACCGUCCGCCGACCGAGGGCUACCUGGCAGUUGCGUCAACGAUGACGAUGGCUGGAGCUCCUCCUCUGGGUGGAGCAGUCGUAGCAGCAGCGAGCCGUGCAGCGACAUGCACAGUGACAAGGCAAAAGAGGAGGCGUCGCAAGAUAUUGAGAGGGCCGAUGAAGCCAACGCCGAGGAAAGACCAGGGAGUCGCGCGGUUGCCUGUGUCGUGGAUGGGCCCACCUCUGAGGUCGCAUUGGCUACUCAUCCGCCCGGUACUGCCGGAACCACUUGCACCUGGGUCGACGAUGCUGACGAUCUGGUGCUCGAGAAUGGCCACAUCGCCAUACGGAGGAAGAGGAUGCGGCCUGCUAGGAAUCUGCCAGCUGCUCUUUCCUUACCGACAGUCGCGAGUAGUCCUCUCCUGAAUCCGUCACUGACGACGACUGUAGUGAAUGCGACACCCGCUGACGAGCAGCACUUCACUUCCUCUGCAACCGAUGGCGCUGAUUACGCGGACGCGGCGGGUGACGGCUCUACAGCAGACGCCGUACCGCAUGGAAGAAAGGGAGUCGCCGGCGCCAAGCGCAGUCGCGCCUCGAUGACGGCCUCUGCUCCAGCAGACGGCUGCGCUACCGCCACGUCGGCAGAGCCACCCGAAAGGGCAACAACAGCCGAGGUGGCGAAAGAGCUGAAGCGCCGUGCCGCUCCGGCCGAAACGUCGGAUGAGGUAGCGAGGACAUCGACGCCCGUCAAGACGAAGCGCGUGGUGCGCUUGUCACAGGAAGAGAUGCUGGAGUUUAUUGAGGGAUUGCGCGUGUCCGACACGCUUCGACGCGCAUUGCUCAUUGGCGCGGCUACACCAGCAGUAAUCGAAGCGGCGCCGGUGAAUAGCCCGGGUGCGGUGGGUGAUGGGAAGAGUGAGCCGGAUGGGAGCGAUGAGGCGCUUUAGGUCUUCAUCUCUCGGGCGCAUACGCAGGGGUGUGCAUGCUCGUGCGAGUGCGUUCUGCCUGCUUUCUUCCGCCUUCCUGCCUUACCGCGCCCCCCGCCUUUUUCUUCCUUUGCCCUUUAGUAGUGGCUCCGCUCUUGUUUUGAUGGAGCUAGUCGCCACACUCCCCCUCGAGAUCUUCGCUUCUGCCUCUCGUUGCUCCCUUGCUGACUUCGCGGCCUUCGUGGCCGACGCUGGGGGCUGCUGCGGCCGAUGCGGUUGCACCGCCUUGCGGUGUGUGGUAACGCCCGGUAGCGUGCCACCGUCUGCUGCAUUAGCGUGUAUUACGUGCUCCACUUGCGCUGUGCAUCCGGCGGAUGCGUUUUUGCAU
This 2852-nucleotide unclassified non-coding RNA is filed under the name Leishmania donovani. RNAcentral's name for it is "gene:LdHU3.33.0900(CDS-product:hypothetical_prote in_conserved)". The record is from RNAcentral. Lineage: Eukaryota; Euglenozoa; Kinetoplastea; Trypanosomatida; Trypanosomatidae.